Molecule: ribosomal RNA, 505 nt
Filed under: uncultured bacterium
Lineage: Bacteria
Description: partial 16S ribosomal RNA
Rfam family: Bacterial small subunit ribosomal RNA
Source: RNAcentral
GACGAACGCUGGCGGCGUGCCUAAUACAUGCAAGUCGAACGCACAGUUUAUACCGCUGCUUGCUACACCAUAGACUGUGAGUCGCGAACGGGUGAGCAAAGCGUCGGGAACCUGCCUGGUAGCGCGGGAUAACUAUUGGAAACGAAAGCCAUUACCGCAUAAUAUUAAUUAUUGUAUGAUAAUAAAUUGAAAGGUGCAAUCGCACCACCACCACAUGGACCUGCGUUGUAUUAGCUAGUAGGUGAGGGAACGGCUCACCUAGGCCACGGUACAUAACCGACCUGAGAAGGGGAUCGGCGCCACUGAGACGGAGCCACGGCCCCGGACCCUACGGGAGGGAGCAGGAGGGGAACUUGGGCAAUGGACGGAAGUCUGACCGAGAGACGCCGCGUGAGUGAAGUAGGGUUUCGGAUCGUAAAGCUCCGUUGUAAGAGAAGAACGGGUGUUAGAGUGGAAAGUUCACAUUGUGACGGUAUCUUACCAGAAAGCUACGGCUAACUACGUG